AACGAACGCUGGCGGCAUGCCUAACACAUGCAAGUCGAACGAGACCUUCGGGUCUAGUGGCGCACGGGUGCGUAACGCGUGGGAACCUGCCCUUAGGUUCGGAAUAACUCCCCGAAAGGGGUGCUAAUACCGGAUAAUGUCUUCGGACCAAAGAUUUAUCGCCUUUGGAUGGGCCCGCGUUGGAUUAGCUAGUUGGUAGGGUAAAAGCCUACCAAGGCGACGAUCCAUAGCUGGUCUGAGAGGAUGAUCAGCCACACUGGGACUGAGACACGGCCCAGACCAGGGCGGGAGGAGGGGGUGAGAAUGAUGAGAAAGGGUGCGAAAGCCGGAUCCAGCGAUGCGGGGUGGGUGAGGACGCGUGGGUGUUGAUGAAGCCUUACUGGCCGGGAUGAAAAGAAGAGUACCGGAAUAGUAAGCCCGGGCUAACCCGGUGGCAGCAGCCGCGGUAUUGGAUUGAGGAGAACUCAUCUACC
This 473-nucleotide ribosomal RNA is filed under the name uncultured bacterium. RNAcentral describes it as "partial 16S ribosomal RNA". It matches the Rfam family "Bacterial small subunit ribosomal RNA", at positions 36 to 538 of the family's 1533-position model. The record is from RNAcentral.